GUGCCAAAGCAGAGUGUGCAAACCCAACCACUACAGCACUGGGCCAGCCCUGAAGCAACUCUUAUUCGAAUGCUGGCUAUCAGAAGUCUCUGGGAGGGGAACAGGGAAGCCCUGUAUUUCUUAGCUAACUCUCUUAUUAAUAUGCUGAGCAAUCUCCCCUUGCUUUAGUCACCAGGUACUUUGGCUUUAAGUAGUCACAGAAGGUUAUUCCAAUCCUGGGUAGUUACACUGCGGCAGGAUGCAGUGCCUGGCGCAUAGAGGGUGCGCAGUAAGUGACUGAAUGAAUGCAUGCAUGAAUAAGGUACAUCUUCAGCUGAAAAUGGGGAAAUAAAGCCACAUAGCCCUCAUUUAUUUAAAAAAAUGUGCUUAGAGAUUACCAUGCGCCAGGCACUGUGCGAAGUGCUGGGAAUAUAACGGGUCCCUGCUGCCAUCCUGGAACUCAGGGUCCUGAUGAACAAACGAAGCUGUGAUGACCAAGCUGUGAUGACCGUGGGUUUGUCUCAGAUUUACCCUAGGAGUUUGGCCCUGAGCUAGGAACCAGCCCUGCUGUGAUGUAAAAAGGGGGCUGAUUGGAGAAUGGUUUGGGGAUUUAUUUUUCAGAAAGGACAUCGGAGGUCAGUAAUUCUUCCCCUUCGUUUUACAGAUGAGAAAACCGAAGCCCAAGAUGGUGGAGCGAGUUGUCCAAGGGUUCACAGAAAGAACUGGAACUAGAAUCCACAUUUUUGGGUUCUUAGGCUUCUGCUUGAUCCAAGAGCUUUGCACAUAAUGGCCCAACUUUAUUUGUGGGUCUGUUUAUCUUUGCUUCCUGCUAACCUCACACCGGAAGUGCUUGUGUGAGAUCCAGAGUGGAAAGAUCCGAGGGACCGGCCUGGCAGGGGCCUUGGGUGGGCUUGUGCCCGGGAGAGUCACGGGACACCGGCGAGUGUGGCUGCUCUGCUCAGGGGCCACAGCAGCGGUGCUUGGUCAGGAAGGAACUGGAAGGGGGGUACAGAAAUUGCUGUCAGUGGGACCCCAGAGGCCGGGGGAGGGGUCUGGGGCUGUUCUGGGCCGUGUGAGCUGGGCAAUGAGCUGCUGAUCUGUGCUGUGGUCUCCAGCAGACUUGUGAGGAGCUGCUACCGAUGGGGAGGCGUUUUGAAAACAGCCCAAGAGGCGAGAGAGGAAACAUUUAAAGAAGAGAUAAACAAAAGAGGUGACAGACUUCUCACGUUAGCAAAAGGGGCCUCAGUUUUGCUGUGAAACUCCACUCCUCCUCUUCCCCUAGCAUGCCACUGAGGGGGCUCGUCCGCGGUUCCCGGAGGUGACCACUGUGUUAAGGCCUUAGUUCUGAGGACCAUGUUGGUCUUGCUGUGUCUGAGCCCUGGGGUUGAUGAUAUCCUGAUUUAAAUUCCAGCCAAACAGUAAGAGCCAGCCAGCCGAUGGACUCCAAUGUCUGGAUUAGUCGGAUCUUCACUAUUUUUAUGAACUGUAACAUUCAUUGAGUGCUUCCCACAGCCAGGCUUUGUGCUGAGCCCCUAACCUGCUCUAUCUCCUGGAAUCUUCAUCACAACAGCCCUUUGAGAUGGCCACUGUUUAUUGGACCCAUUUUAUAGGCGGGGAAACGAAGGUCUGGAGAUGUCCCUGAUCACACAGGGAGGGAGGAAAAGAACAGGACUUUGAAGCCAGGACUUGCUUUGCAGAAAACACGUGUGGAAGGGGAGCAAAGAGGGAGGAAGUGAAGCCCCUUCCUGGGUGUGGGAGCCACCUGAUCCCCCCAGUGUGUCUGGCCCCCAGUCCCCAAGGGCAGGCCGACCGGGAGAGUGUGUGUUCCCUGUGGAAGCCUCUAGGAGGACGCGUUUCCAUCUACUGCCUCUGUCGCCAGCUGUCCGAGAGGACAUCACAGGGGCAGGACAUUUCUGGGAUGCUGGAGCACUGAGGGGUGGCCAGAAUGCUGGGCCUUCCCUAGUAGCCACCUCACAUUUCUCACUCUGCUAGGAGGAGCGAUAAAGUCGUUUUUCCAUUAACUAUUUUGAAAGCUCUUAUUUUUGGUAUAGUGGGGGCUCCCCUCCACUUUCUUUGGAGAUGCAGUUUGAGAGUAAUGGUUGAGAGCACUCGUUUUGUGGAUUUGAAUCCACAGCAGCUUGUUAGUUAUGUGGCUUUGGACAAGCUGCUUAACUUCUCUGGGCCUCAGUUUCCUCAUCUGUUAAAUGGUGAUAAUAUCAGCACCCGCCUCGUAGGAUUGUGACGAUCAAGUGAGAUAAUGCAAUGAACUUAGUACCUGGCCUGCUGUAAAUGUUCAAGAAAGGGUCAUUAUUAUUGUUCUUUAAUGGUGUAAAGAGACAAUUUGGUCUAGGCAGAUGGGGGCUCAAGUUUCUGGUUUCCCAGAAGGCCGCCAGCAUCCUCGGUGCCCAGGUGAGAUUGAAAGUGCUGUAGAAAUGGCAGGGCCAGGGCAAAGUCAUGCUUCAAUCUGAAUGUUUCCAGCAAGUUGAAAAGCUGAAGAGAUGGCCAUUUGAAAGUUGCUACAGACCACAGGAGCAACCGAAGAGAAAACUUUCCUUUCCAAAUCUGGAUGCCUACAACCCAUACAAAAAAGAUAUUUUGGGCAUCCCAUGUUUAUUUCUACCCAUGUCCUUUUUAGGCAUAGGGCUUCCAGAACCAAGAACUGUGCUAAGGACAAAUGAAGAGGAAAGGUUAUUUUUCAUUCCUAGGCAAUAUGCAUAUAGAGUUUAUCAACAUGAUCACAACCUUUUGCGGAGCUGAACUUCUAAUGGGAAACAGGGAAAAAAUGUAAGUGGUACAUUUCUCACCAUGCUUUACAUUACUGCUUUAUAUUGUCCUGCCCGUUUCAUUUGGGAUGCAAACCAACUCAAACUGCCCUGCGGAGCACUUUAGAUUUACAGAGCCUGUGGAACCCUUCCCAGUUUUGCAAAUGGAAGGGCCCUAAGCAGUUACUUGCUGCACGGCAAGCCCCCCCGGCAGGCAGCAUCCGCAAGGAGGGCCUAGUUGUGUUUCCCAAGUAGCCCUGCCCUUGGUGGGCGCCUAAUAAAUAUUUGUGGAAUAAAUGAGUUGUUGUUUUCUACCUUGCCCUAUGCAGCUCAAUUUGUUGGUUUAAAAGAAUUUUCCUCAUCACAAUUUCCAAAAGCUUAAACAGUAACAUUUGUGUUUAUGUAUGUAUGUAAAAUAACAAUUAAUUAGAAAGUGCUGUUUUAUGUUGUCGCUGGUGAAAAGCAGUGGCCUCUCUUUUAUGACUUCUAUAAUCUAGUAAGAGCUUUGAGCACCCAAAGGCUUAGAAUACUAUCUUACUGUUUAAAAACCACAGAUUCUUUUGAUAAACAUUAAAAAAAAAAAACCUUCACAAUUGCCCAGAAAGUCUAAUGAGUUUUUAUCUGCAUUUUUUAGAGCGGCUAAAUAACUUGCCUGAGAUCACAGAGCUGGUGAGUUAUAACGGCUGGGGUUUGAACCCAGGCGGUCUGGCUCGAGAACGGGAGGCACCACUUGAUCAUGCUGAUAAUAUGAGGCAGAGGAGCCUGAGACAAGUGACUUACGUGUCAAGGGGCAGAGCUAGAAGCAGGACUUGACUUCCUGACUUGAAUAACUGUUCUAAGGCAGCUGCCUAGCAACCACGGCCCCCGUUCAGGAGCAGCUAUCGUGUGAGGAGGCUGGUGCCUGGCUCCCCCACUACGCCACGAACUUCUCAAGGGCAGGACCUGGCUCCUGGUCCUCUGUUUCCCCCCAAGGCCUCACGUGGCACUGGGCCUGCAGAAGACAGAUGCUCAAUAAGGAGCCUGCGUUACAGCUUCCACGGAUGAAGCCGAGCCUGUCUAUGGCUGCUUCGGAUGCAGACUCUGAAGCCAAAGAGGAUUGCAAACAUCCUGGCAUCUGUCCGAAAAGCCUAGUCUAGGGGCACAGAAGGACUUAACUCAGAGCAGAAGAGUUUCAGAGUCUUUGCUAACAGGAGAUUGAGCUGUGAGCUCAGGGCGUUCACCUUAGACGGCUUCUCCCUCUCAGUGUGUACGUUAUUACUUCUGGCAAAUCAUGAAAAACAUGACCUCACAAAGAAACCAGUGAGAGCCAUCAUCUUGAUUCAUCUCUCUCCUUUUCAAUGGGAAAAAACUGGCCUGUGCCUCGAACUUUGCUCAGCAGGAAAUGUUUAUAGAAAUUAGUCGUCAAUCGAGGACUUGUGCAUGUGUGUGCUCUUUGUUUAGAGAAACUCACCAACGCCCUGGACUCACCUCUGGAGGCUCCCGGCCAGGCCUUCAGCAGCACCCCUGGUCCCACGGCCGAGGCUCAGGCAGGCCACGGCUCCACGGCCGGGGCUUCGCGGCUGGAUCCCGGGGCGUGCAUCUCAGAGGCCGUGAAAUCACUGACCAAAUAAAAUUGCUUCUUCUUUUCA
Non-coding RNA from Equus caballus (horse), 4369 nucleotides. NCBI's taxonomy places the organism in Eukaryota, Metazoa, Chordata, Mammalia, Perissodactyla, Equidae. The record is from RefSeq and is a predicted model, not a curated record.